RNAcentral lists this ribosomal RNA (920 nucleotides) under uncultured archaeon. RNAcentral's name for it is "bacterial SSU rRNA". It matches the Rfam family "Archaeal small subunit ribosomal RNA", at positions 1 to 922 of the family's 1478-position model. The record is from RNAcentral.
UUCCGGUUGAUCCUGCCGGAGGUCAUUGCUAUUGGAGUCCGAUUUAGCCAUGCUAGUCGCACGGGUUGAGACCCGUGGCAGAUAGCUCAGUAACACGUGGCCAAACUACCCUCUGGAGCACACUAACCUCGGGAAACUGAGGCUAAUGGUGCAUAGGGCUCGCUGCCUGGAACUGGCGCGAGUGCGAAACGCUCCGGUGCCAGAGGAUGUGGCUGCGGCCGAUUAGGUAGACGGUGGGGUAACGGCCCACCGUGCCGAUAAUCGGUACGGGUUGUGAGAGCAAGAGCCCGGAGACGGUAUCUGAGACAAGAUACCGGGCCCUACGGGGCGCAGCAGGCGCGAAACCUUUACACUGCACGCCAGUGCGAUAAGGGGACUCCGAGUGCGAGGGCAUAUAGUCCUCGCUUUUCACCACCGUAAGGAGGUGGUGGAAUAAGGGCUGGGCAAGACCGGUGCCAGCCGCCGCGGUAAUACCGGCAGCCCGAGUGAUGACCGCUAUUAUUGGGCCUAAAGCGUCCGUAGCUGGCCGCGCAAGUCCGUCGGGAAAUCUCUCCGCUCAACGGAGAGGCGUCCGGUGGAACCUGCGUGGCUUGGGACCGGAAGACCUAGGGGGUACGUCCGGGGUAGGAGUGAAAUCCCGUAAUCCUGGACGGACCACCGGUGGCGAAAGCGCCCUGGGAAGACGGAUCCGACGGUGAGGGACGAAAGCUCGGGUCACGAACCGGAUUAGAUACCCGGGUAGUCCGAGCUGUAAACGAUGUCUGCUAGGUGUGACACAGGCUACGAGCCUGUGUUGUGCCGUAGGGAAGCCGUGAAGCAGACCGCCUGGGAAGUACGUCUGCAAGGAUGAAACUUAAAGGAAUUGGCGGGGGAGCACUACAACCGGAGGAGCCUGCGGUUUAAUUGGAUUCAACGCCGGA